UCCGAGUUGACCCCGGCAGUCUCCUAUGAGUCCCCACCAUAACGUGCUGGCAACAUAGGACGAGGGUUGCGCUCGUUGCGGGACUUAACCCAACAUCUCACGACACGAGCUGACGACAACCAUGCACCACCUGUUCAGGACCCUUACGGACCCCCCAUCUCUGGAGGAUUUCCCUGAAUGUCAAGCCUUGGUAAGGUUCUUCGCGUUGCCUCGAAUUAAGCAACAUGCUCCACCGCUUGUGCGGGCCCCCGUCAAUUCCUUUGAGUUUCAACCUUGCGGUCGUACUCCCCAGGCGGGGUACUUCCUGCGUUAGCGCCGGCACCCAGAGGGUCGCUCCCCCAGGCACCUAGUACCCAUCGUUUACGGCGUGGACUAC
This 376-nucleotide unclassified non-coding RNA is filed under the name uncultured bacterium. RNAcentral's name for it is "contains 16S-23S intergenic spacer region". The record is from RNAcentral.